GUACGACUAGUUGCCAGACUAGAACGCUUAUAAUUCUACUUGUGCGGCGCGACCGCUCAUUGACCUGCUGCGACACCAGAGAACUGUCACAAACAUAGAUGGUUGGUGGUCGCACUUACUAGUAAAUGUAGAGGCCAGGAGUGGAGACCAAUGAAUAAUAGGUCAGCUGAGUGGCUUUUCCAUGCAGCACUUUCUGAAAAUGCAGUCAUGUUAUUAAAGAAGAACUAAAGACAUAAUCUUUGGAGCUGGCUCUCCAGUAACAGGGACCUCCAGUCGCAGUUUUGUUCCUGCUACAACUGUUACAGUGUUAUCAGGAUAAGAAAGUGCAUCAAAGUGGAUUUUGGGAGGAUCUGCAAAUUGAAGCAUACAACUGUGGAAGAAGCUACAGUAGACUUACAAUCAACCUGAAGCUGAGCCGCUGACUGCCCUCCGGUUGUCAUCACAGAAAACCUCGUCUUGCCUUAUGGCAGGGAUCCUAUAUAUGCUCUUCGCAUCAGAGACAGUGUUUCACAAGACAAACCAGGAUCAAUCAGAUGAUUCCAGGGAGGAAGUAUGAAAACUAAAUGCCCUUUACCUGGGAUGAAUGAACAUGUUCUGUUCUGGUGAGAAAUUCUACUUGUUUCAAGAUUUUUCACACUGCAAGAACUUGUAAGAGUUCUUACUAUCCUUGGGGAGAAAAUUGUAUGGAAGUUUUGCAUCACUCAUUUUGCAUCACUCAUACAGCUCCAUGCUUAAAUAACUCAACAGAGAGAUGUUAGACUUGAUCAAAAAGCAGGAAGCUCUAAUAUAUGCUAUACAAUAGGAAACCAUGUACUAGGUAACUACUUUUAAAAAGUUUAAAAGAAUAACAUUCUUAGUUAUUCAAGGAAACACACAAAGAAUGUCUUCCAGAUGAAAAGUUUUAAUACUCAUAUUAUUAAUGAGCAUUUUAACCAAUGGAUAACUUUUCAGUGGUCUCUGAUUUUAUCCAUCAUGGGGUAAUAAUGACCUGCAGGGCACAGCAGCCAAUAACACUCAUGCAUACAAUCAAAAUCAUGCAACAAAUUCCAGAAAAUGAUAUUCAUGCAGGUACUAGGAGCCCAAUUCCAGUAAAAUCACAUUAAUAUCAAAGUACCUUGUCAGAGAUGUAUCAGUACGUACAAUGCAAAAAUGUUUCUUUCAAGGGGAGUUGUUAUAUGGCAAAUUAUAGUUUUUAUUGACUAGGAACAAAUAAUACAUGAAUGGAGUGAUAAUAAGAAUGUGGAGUUGAUUUAGUUGAAUUAACGUCCACUGAUUAUUUUAUUGCUUUGAUUUCUCACCUACGUUUCAGGAGACCACUAAAGUCAAGUUCUCCUGCAUCAUCUUGUCCUUCACCACUGUCAUCAAUAUGAAAAGAAGAUUAAGUCUUGGUUCAUUACAGAAAGCAUCCACUUUGUAAGCACAGAGCAAAUAUACAUGCAGAAUGUCAAAUCACAACAUUUCUUUUUGUCAAGAAAUAAAAUGUUUAAGCUGA
This is a long non-coding RNA of Xenopus tropicalis (tropical clawed frog), 1492 nucleotides long. RefSeq lists it as uncharacterized. Lineage: Eukaryota; Metazoa; Chordata; Amphibia; Anura; Pipidae. The record is from RefSeq and is a predicted model, not a curated record. The transcript has 6 exons.